Molecule: non-coding RNA, 75 nt
Filed under: uncultured Chlorophyceae
Lineage: Eukaryota; Viridiplantae; Chlorophyta; Chlorophyceae
Source: RNAcentral
UUUUUUUUUUCGUCCUUUUUUUUUUUCCUUUUUCUUUCUGCGCCGCGACGGGGGGAACGAGGAGGAAGGACGAAA